This is a non-coding RNA of Candidatus Wildermuthbacteria bacterium, 211 nucleotides long. NCBI's taxonomy places the organism in Bacteria, Candidatus Wildermuthiibacteriota. The record is from Rfam.
GGCUCGCUGUGAGUAAAGUUGCAGCUUCUUGGAGCAAUCCAGGUUGAAAAACGGGGUUAAUUGCGGGAAACCUAAAGCGAAAGCCAAGGCAAUCCGCAGCCAAGGGAUGUAACAUUUUGCCUUGCAAAAUUGUACGUUCAAGGUUCAGAGACUAUACGCCCCGCACCCCUUUGGGGUGAUGAGAUAGUCCACGCCAGUAUGAAAGUAUUGG